Molecule: ribosomal RNA, 1536 nt
Filed under: Erwinia sp. Ejp617
Lineage: Bacteria; Pseudomonadati; Pseudomonadota; Gammaproteobacteria; Enterobacterales; Erwiniaceae
Description: bacterial SSU rRNA
Rfam family: Bacterial small subunit ribosomal RNA
Source: RNAcentral
AGAGUUUGAUCAUGGCUCAGAUUGAACGCUGGCGGCAGGCCUAACACAUGCAAGUCGAACGGUAGCGGGAAGAAGCUUGCUUCUUUGCCGACGAGUGGCGGACGGGUGAGUAAUGUCUGGGAAACUGCCCGAUGGAGGGGGAUAACUACUGGAAACGGUAGCUAAUACCGCAUAACGUCUACGGACCAAAGUGGGGGACCUUCGGGCCUCACACCAUCGGAUGUGCCCAGAUGGGAUUAGCUAGUAGGUGGGGUAACGGCUCACCUAGGCGACGAUCCCUAGCUGGUCUGAGAGGAUGACCAGCCACACUGGAACUGAGACACGGUCCAGACUCCUACGGGAGGCAGCAGUGGGGAAUAUUGCACAAUGGGCGCAAGCCUGAUGCAGCCAUGCCGCGUGUAUGAAGAAGGCCUUCGGGUUGUAAAGUACUUUCAGCGGGGAGGAAGGGUAAAAGAUUAAUAACCUUUUUCAUUGACGUUACCCGCAGAAGAAGCACCGGCUAACCCCGUGCCAGCAGCCGCGGUAAUACGGAGGGUGCAAGCGUUAAUCGGAAUUACUGGGCGUAAAGCGCACGCAGGCGGUCUGUCAAGUCGGAUGUGAAAUCCCCGGGCUUAACCUGGGAACUGCAUUCGAAACUGGCAGGCUAGAGUCUUGUAGAGGGGGGUAGAAUUCCAGGUGUAGCGGUGAAAUGCGUAGAGAUCUGGAGGAAUACCGGUGGCGAAGGCGGCCCCCUGGACAAAGACUGACGCUCAGGUGCGAAAGCGUGGGGAGCAAACAGGAUUAGAUACCCUGGUAGUCCACGCCGUAAACGAUGUCGACUUGGAGGCUGUUCCCCUGAGGAGUGGCUUCCGGAGCUAACGCGUUAAGUCGACCGCCUGGGGAGUACGGCCGCAAGGUUAAAACUCAAAUGAAUUGACGGGGGCCCGCACAAGCGGUGGAGCAUGUGGUUUAAUUCGAUGCAAACGCGAAGAACCUUACCUGGCCUUGACAUCCACGGAAUUUUGCAGAGAUGCGGAAGUGCCUUCGGGAACCGUGAGACAGGUGCUGCAUGGCUGUCGUCAGCUCGUGUUGUGAAAUGUUGGGUUAAGUCCCGCAACGAGCGCAACCCUUAUCCUUUGUUGCCAGCGAUUCGGUCGGGAACUCAAAGGAGACUGCCGGUGAUAAACCGGAGGAAGGUGGGGAUGACGUCAAGUCAUCAUGGCCCUUACGGCCAGGGCUACACACGUGCUACAAUGGCGCAUACAAAGAGAAGCGACCUCGCGAGAGCAAGCGGACCUCAUAAAGUGCGUCGUAGUCCGGAUCGGAGUCUGCAACUCGACUCCGUGAAGUCGGAAUCGCUAGUAAUCGUAGAUCAGAAUGCUACGGUGAAUACGUUCCCGGGCCUUGUACACACCGCCCGUCACACCAUGGGAGUGGGUUGCAAAAGAAGUAGGUAGCUUAACCUUCGGGAGGGCGCUUACCACUUUGUGAUUCAUGACUGGGGUGAAGUCGUAACAAGGUAACCGUAGGGGAACCUGCGGUUGGAUCACCUCCUUA